GCCUGUGGCUGCACUGAGGGGGUGGGAACUAGUGCCCAUAGAAGGCACCGGGCCGUCGGGAGGCUCUCGCGAGAGUUUCGUACCGGUUCCAGCCUACAGCUCGCGAGGGUUUUCUGUGAGCUGCGUCCAUUCCCUGAGUUGGAGAAGUACAGGCCGGUUUGGAACUUUGUUUUUUCAUUUUACAGGCCGCCACUAUGGCACUUCGUUGAAGUUUCUGGAAGCUGGGAAGUCCAAGAUCAAGGUGCCAGCACAUUUGAUUCCUGGAGAGAACUGUCUUCCUGGCUUGUGGAUGGGUGCCUUCUCAUAGAGUCUUCACAGGGCAGAGAAAUAGACAAUAAGGAUACUAAUACUAUCAUCAGGGCCUCACCUUUAUGAUCUCAUCUAAACCUAAUUGACUCCCAAACGCCCCACCUCUAAAUACCAUUGGGUAUCAGAAGUUCCAGGAACCCAAAUAAAGAUUCUCGCCUAAACACACUGCUUGCUCCUUUCCUUCCUGACCAAAACCUGGUGUUCCUCCUGUGGCCUUGUGGGGUGAGCUGUGCCUCUUGUUUCCAGGAACUGU
This is a long non-coding RNA of Ailuropoda melanoleuca (giant panda), 562 nucleotides long. RefSeq lists it as uncharacterized. The record is from RefSeq and is a predicted model, not a curated record. The transcript has 3 exons. NCBI's taxonomy places the organism in Eukaryota, Metazoa, Chordata, Mammalia, Carnivora, Ursidae.